This 465-nucleotide ribosomal RNA is filed under the name Vreelandella stevensii. Its description in RNAcentral is "partial 16S ribosomal RNA". It matches the Rfam family "Bacterial small subunit ribosomal RNA", at positions 338 to 795 of the family's 1533-position model. The record is from RNAcentral. Lineage: Bacteria; Pseudomonadati; Pseudomonadota; Gammaproteobacteria; Oceanospirillales; Halomonadaceae.
CCUACGGGAGGCAGCAGUGGGGAAUAUUGGACAAUGGGGGCAACCCUGAUCCAGCCAUGCCGCGUGUGUGAAGAAGGCCCUCGGGUUGUAAAGCACUUUCAGUGAGGAAGAACGCCUGGUGGUUAAUACCCAGCAGGAAAGACAUCACUCACAAAAGAAGCACCGGCUAACUCCGUGCCAGCAGCCGCGGUAAUACGGAGGGUGCGAGCGUUAAUCGGAAUUACUGGGCGUAAAGCGCGCGUAGGUGGCUUGAUAAGCCGGUUGUGAAAGCCCCGGGCUCAACCUGGGAACGGCAUCCGGAACUGUCAAGCUAGAGUGCAGGAGAGGAAGGUAGAAUUCCCGGUGUAGCGGUGAAAUGCGUAGAGAUCGGGAGGAAUACCAGUGGCGAAGGCGGCCUUCUGGACUGAUACUGACACUGAGGUGCGAAAGCGUGGGUAGCAAACAGGAUUAGAUACCCGUGUAGUC